RNAcentral lists this non-coding RNA (45 nucleotides) under Schistosoma haematobium. Lineage: Eukaryota; Metazoa; Platyhelminthes; Trematoda; Strigeidida; Schistosomatidae. The record is from RNAcentral.
AUUCAGUUGACGAGUCCCAAAUAGAACGAAACACACUUCUUAGAU